This 253-nucleotide ribosomal RNA is filed under the name uncultured bacterium. RNAcentral describes it as "partial 16S ribosomal RNA". It matches the Rfam family "Bacterial small subunit ribosomal RNA", at positions 524 to 776 of the family's 1533-position model. The record is from RNAcentral.
UACGAAGGGUGCAAACGUUGCUCGGAAUUAUUGGGCGUAAAGCGCACGUAGGCGGCAUUGCAAGUCGGAUGUGAAAUCUUAUGGCUUAACCAUAAAAGUGCAUCCGAAACUGCAGUGCUUGAGUACUUAAGAGGAUCGCGGAAUUCCCGGUGUAGAGGUGAAAUUCGUAGAUAUCGUAAGGAAGACCAGUGGCGAAGGCGGGUCUCUGGACAGUUCCUGACGCUGAGGCACGAAGGUCAGGGGAGCAAACGGG